UAGAUAACCUAUUAUUAAAAAUGUAAAUUUUUUUACUUAAUUAGUAUUAGUUAUGUUCUUGAAAAUUAAAAAAUUUGGCGGUAUUUUAGUCUUUUCAGAGGAACCUGUUCUAUAAUCGAUAGUCCACGAUUAGAUGCACUUUAUUUAUUAGUUUAUAUAUCGUCGUAGUUUAAAUAUUUUAAUAGAAUUAUAAAUAUUUAAAAUUUUUUAUUAAAAAAUAAAUCAGAUCAAGGUGUAGUUUAUAAUAAAGAAGAAAUGGGUUACAAUAAAUUUAUUUUAAAAUAAUUUUUGUUAAAAAAAUUUGAAUUUGGAUUUGAGAGUAAUUUUUUAGAUUUUUUUAAGAUGAUUAAAGCUCUAAAAUAUGUACAUAUCGCCCGUCGCUUUCAUUUUAAAAUGAAAUAAGU
RNAcentral lists this ribosomal RNA (404 nucleotides) under Acanthoscelides obtectus. RNAcentral's name for it is "partial small subunit ribosomal RNA". Lineage: Eukaryota; Metazoa; Arthropoda; Insecta; Coleoptera; Chrysomelidae. The record is from RNAcentral.